Molecule: ribosomal RNA, 774 nt
Filed under: uncultured Neocallimastigales
Lineage: Eukaryota; Fungi; Neocallimastigomycota; Neocallimastigomycetes; Neocallimastigales
Description: partial large subunit ribosomal RNA
Rfam family: Eukaryotic large subunit ribosomal RNA
Source: RNAcentral
UCAGACGAUGCGUCAUGCAUAUCAAUAAGCGGAGGAAAAGAAACUAACAAAGAUUCCCCUAGUAACGGCGAGUGAAGCGGGAAGAGCUCAAAUUUGAAAUCUUAAAGGGUUUCCCUUUACGAAUUGUAGUUUAAAGAAGUGUUUUCUGUUGAGGUUUUGGUAAAAGUUCUUUGGAAUAGGACAUCAUAGAGGGUGAGAAUCCCGUAUUUGACCUUUACUUUCAACUUUGUGAUACACUUUCAAAGAGUCGGAUUGUUUGGGAAUGCAGUCCAAAAUGGGUGGUAAAUUUCAUCUAAAGCUAAAUAUUGGCGAGAGACCGAUAGCGAACAAGUACCGUGAGGGAAAGAUGAAAAGAACUUUGAAAAGAGAGUUAAACAGUACGUGAAAUUGUCAAAAGGGAAGCGUUUGACACCAGUGUUGUUUUUCUGAAAAUCAAUUAAGGAACUGUUUAUGCUAAGCUGUUUAGACUUUAUCAGCUAUCUGUUUAGUUUUGAGCUUUUCUUUAAUGCACUUUUCAGUUAACAAGUCAACAUCAAUUUCUUUUGCUGUAAAAAAGCUUGAGGAAGGUGGCUUGAGAUUCGUCUUAAGUGUUUAUAGCCUCUUGCCUAUGCAGUCGGAGAGAUUGAGGUCUGCAGCGUAGAUCCUUCGGGGCUAAAUGCAUUUGUGCUAAGUUAUAGCAUUUUAUAGACAACUUGUUGACUAUGAUUUGUCUUGUAGCUUACUCGCUUAUGUUAUUUUACCUACGCUUAGGAUGUUGAGCGCAUGUCUCUCUCU